AUGCCGUGGAGAUUGUGUACGCCGCACGUGUCAUGAAUCCUCAGAUAUUUUCGGAUCAGCGGCUGGAAGAAAAAGUGGAAGAAUCGUGACCAAAAGCCUGGAAAUUGCAAGUUCGAAGGAGAUUGCUGUAACUGAAACCACGCGAUUGGACCGGGGAAAUCGAUCCGGUGACAUCGAAGAAGGACAAGACGAAUCGCUUCAUCGAAAACGAGAAGGGAGUUCAACGGGACAACGGUCGUACUUCUCGCCCUCCAAACGGCACUUACAUCCCGUUAGGGUGCCCCCAAAAACAGGAACGUCCAUGGCAAGUCUCGAAAUUCUCGCGAGUCGCUCCGGCUGGUUUCGAGAGUGAUAUGUCUGAUGACUCGGACGUGAUGGAGCUGUGGUAAAUCGAAAGAACCGGCCGUACAUUUCUUCCUUUUUUCUAUCGAGAUACGCUUUCAUUUAUUUCAUGUAAUUUUGUAGAAGUUAGAAAUGCGGCGGUUUGAACAAUCGCAACGUCUUGCUCUUUCUCUAUGAAGCGGAAAACAGGCAAUUCACCGUAGUUGAUCGAUGUAGAUCCAUAAAUUCGCGACAUCGUUGGCCCGGUAAUCGAACACGGAGAUAUUUAUUAUAUUUAUGAGCUACUUACGGGAACACAUUUCCCAGCGUACUUACGGUGUCUCUGUAGAAAAGCCUUGGAUGGAAGUGAGCCACUCCGUAGUAAUUUAUGCCGUCAUAUCGGCUACUUUUCGUUCGCUCUAAAUUCACGCUAAAACCGGUCGUUCGUUUGCCACUCGCGAAUCGAUGCCUCGGCCAAUCUCACCAAUUACAAUUACGAACAAUUUGAAUUGCUAAAUUUUGUCGAACUAAAAAUUAAAGCAACGAAGAAGAAGUCAGAAAGAUGAGAGAAGCGAACGAUAAAAUAGAUUUAUAAGGGGGAAUAAGUUGAAAAAUUCGGGUAAAUCAAGGUGUACUUUUUCUGGAGAAACUUUCGCCAAGAUCGAUUCUAUCGCACGAAAUCGUUGGUUUGUUCUCUCAAAGACGGACAAUCACGCACUCGGAGCAAACAGUCGUUCUAUGCCGACGGAUGACACGCGAUCAAUUUGUGUCGGAACACGAUUCGAUGGGUGAUCGUGUAUAGAUAAACGAUUAUGUACUGCGACGAACAGCUAAAAUCACGACAGGACGCUCGAGUCGCAGAAGGUCGAUUAUCGCGUGUUUCAGAGUUUGCCGAGUUAAAGUUAAAAUGUCUUUUUAACCGAUAAAAAGUCGCGUUUAAUACAUAGAUAUUUAAAUAAAAAUAUAAACAUUAUGUAGCAAUCAAAAAACCAAGGAAACAAAAAUAGUAAUAGAUAGGAACCGAGAACGAAGUAUUUUCAAGAUAUUUUAACGAGGUUAAACAAAAAUGCUAUAGAUUUAAUGUGUUACCAUUAUUUCGAAAUUAGUCGGGUGAUUCAAGGAAUAAAUAUGCCACUUAAAUGCGCAUCAGACAUGGAAUUGGCGAAUACGCGUUUGUCGUAGGAUAAACGGACUAUAGAAUCACGUACGAUUUACUAAUUUCAAUAUUUAUUCGCUUUCUAAUGCACCCGAAAUGGCAGUGAAAAAGGAAGAGACCCAUCCCAUGGUCGUCUCGUAUUCCGGUUUUCCGCUUCGAUUCUUAUCAAACCACUGACAACCUUUGAUCUCGUUAAAUUGCUUCCGUUUAAUAUAUGCUCGAUCUUAAAAAAGGAAAUUACAAACCAGGAAAUGCAAUAACCAGGAAAGGCAAAGCUCGUAAGAAUCCAGACAUCUUUGUCAAUUUAGAGCAACAAUGUAUAAAUGUACGAGUUAAAGUAAAUUUAAAAAACUCGUAGAUUAAUAGAAUUUCGUGAACAAGUGACUUUGAAAAAUCGAUUCUAUCGUAUCGUAAUAUUUUAUGAUAUAUAUGUGUAUGUAUAAAGCUUUUUUAAUUAUAAAUAAAAAUGUAAAAAUGUGAAAUGAAAUUUUGUCGAGAUAACAAAGGCAAGCAAAGAUACGGUAGAAAAGGUAAAAAUAAUAUUUUGCUUCGACUAUAAGCAGCAAGAUAGUAAGUAAAGUCGAUAGGUAGACAGAUGAAAGAUAAUAACUGGAAAAGUUAUCGAAACAUGUUUUUGGAAAUGAUUGGCAACGUUCUUUUUUCUCGGCGAUUUAUUUAUUUAUCGCUUUAUCGUUAAUACAUAUUACGGUUUGACAGUGAAUUCAAGUGACAGUGAACAGUAGUACAACAUUCAGAACAUUAUCGUAGCGCACUCACGCUAGUGUGUUAGAUUGAAAAUUAAAAUCGCUCCGUGUGAGAAAGAUUCUACGUGCGUACGUACGUGUGUAAUUACUCUCCUUGAACAGGUGUACAUGAUAGUACACAUGACGGCGAAAGUAUCGAUGACAAUCUCGUGUGCCGUAUAUGUACACACGUACGACGUCUGAUCGUCUCCGCGUGUUAUCCUCUUCGUAAAUAGAAACAACGACAAUCACCGUAAUUACUUGCGCGUAACGAAAGAAAGAAGAAAAAAGAAAAAAGAAAAAAGAAAAAAGAAAAAAGAAAAAAGAAAAAAGAAAAAAGAAAAAAGAAAAAAGUAAAAAUACGGAAGUCACGAAAUUUCGCUGUGUUUUUCGUUAAACAGUUUUCUUUUUCCUUUCUUUUCUUCUUCUUUUUUUUUUAUCUUUAUACAAUAUGAAACUAAACAAAACUCGCACGAUUUCGCUAUAUCUCGUCGUUGAAUACUUUCUUUCUUUCUUUCUUUCUUUCUUUCUUUCUUUCUUUCUUUCUUUCUUUCUUUCUUUCUUUCUUUCUUUCUUUCUUUCUUUCGUGUUGAUAGUGCAAAAAUCAAAAUUCAAAAAUCAAAUUCGGCCACGAAUUGUAAAGUUUCGCUGUGUCUCGUCGAAUAAUAUUUUCUUUUCUUUCUUAGUAAUACGAAACGGAAACAAGAUUGGUACGAUGUUACGGCCAAAGAAAGGGGGACCGCCGCAUCGUCGUCGUUCGUUCGACGGACGUUUAAAGUGGCCCCUCCUCUCAUUUAAAUACAAUACAAUACAAGAAUCGAACGUGCUUAUACUAUAUUCUCAUAUCUUUCACAUAAUUUUUUAUUUCUCUUUGAUUGGAGCGAUUUUAGAGCGAUUGGCUUUGCAGCACCUCGGUAAUGACUGGAGUAUUAAUUUUGCUUUUAAAAGACGUGAUCGAUCAAAGGCGGAUGAUGAAUAUCUGGUUGUGUUAAUGAGCUUAUCUAACGACUAACACCGAACUUUCCUUAUCUUUGGUUUA
This is a long non-coding RNA of Bombus terrestris (buff-tailed bumblebee), 3259 nucleotides long. RefSeq lists it as uncharacterized. The record is from RefSeq and is a predicted model, not a curated record. NCBI's taxonomy places the organism in Eukaryota, Metazoa, Arthropoda, Insecta, Hymenoptera, Apidae. The transcript is spliced from 2 exons.